GACGAACGCUGGCGGCGUGCUUAACACAUGCAAGUCGAACGGACAGGCCCUGCUUUUGUGGGGUGCUCGAGUGGCGAACGGGUGAGUAACACGUGAGUAACCUGCCCUUGACUUUGGGAUAACUUCAGGAAACUGGGGCUCAUACCGGAUAGGAGCUCCUGCUGCAUGGUGGGGGUUGGAAAGUUUCGGCGGUUGGGGAUGGACUCGCGGCUUAUCAGCUUGUUGGUGAGGUAGUGGCUUACCAAGGCUUUGACGGGUAGCCGGCCUGAGAGGGGGAACGGCCACAUUGGGACUGAGAUAGGGACCAGACUCCUACGGGAGGCAGCAGGCGGGAAUAUUGCAGAAUGGGGGGAAGCCAGAGACAGCAACGCCGCGUGCGGGAUGAUGGCCUUCGGGGGGUAAACAGCUUUCGACUGUGACGAGGCGGGAGUGACGGUAAUGGGUAAGAAAGCAACGGCUAACUACGUG
Molecule: ribosomal RNA, 468 nt
Filed under: uncultured bacterium
Lineage: Bacteria
Description: partial 16S ribosomal RNA
Rfam family: Bacterial small subunit ribosomal RNA
Source: RNAcentral